GGGGAUUUAGCUCAGUGGUAGAGCGCUUGCCUAGCAAGCACAAGGCCCUGGGGUCAGUCCUCA
RNAcentral lists this transfer RNA (63 nucleotides) under Rattus norvegicus (Norway rat). It matches the Rfam family "tRNA". From Rfam's summary of the family: Transfer RNA (tRNA) molecules are approximately 80 nucleotides in length. Lineage: Eukaryota; Metazoa; Chordata; Mammalia; Rodentia; Muridae. The record is from Rfam by way of RNAcentral.